This 14995-nucleotide long non-coding RNA is filed under the name Homo sapiens (human). RNAcentral describes it as "HSALNT0299013". The record is from RNAcentral. Lineage: Eukaryota; Metazoa; Chordata; Mammalia; Primates; Hominidae.
UUGUGGAAAGGAUGGAUGGAUGGGUGGAUGGAUGGAUGGAUGGAUGGAUGGAUGGAUGGAUAGAAAUGCAACUUCAAGAUCUGGUUCUACAGUAUUACAUAUGAAGCAACUGAGACUCAGAUAAAAUUCAGUGAGUUGCUGAAGACUAUUCACUCAUUGAGCCUCACAUUCUGAUGCUAUAUAUAUCAGGUGCUAUGCAGAUGAUUAGGGAAGGGCAGGACUGAGAUUAAACUGACACCCCCUACAUCCUAAUCCAGGCUUUUUCCACUGUAUGGCGAUGCCUCCCAAAAGAAUUAUCACAGCGACUUAAUAAAGGAGGGAGAAAGUUAGCUGCAAAUUUCAAGCUUAGAAAUUCACAGGCAAAAAUGGCUGAAGGGAAAUAAUCACACUAAUAGUGAUGCAAGGAUGUAACUGGAAAGGAAAAAAUGGAGAGAAAUUAAAAACACAAACAGAUUUAGUCAGGGUCCUGAUAAAGUGAUAAUGUAAUCAAUAAGGCAAAUCAAAGAUAAAUGAUUAGAGAUUUAAAACCUCAGCCUAUCAGAAAAACCUGAGGGAAAAGAUUUUGAAUUUUUUUUAUUUCUUCCAAAAGAUCCUAUUUGACAUUUUUUUUUAAAUCUAAAUGACCAAAGAUUUCGAAUUUGGAAAGGCAGACACAUAUCUAUUUCCCAUAUAAACAUCUACAUUUCUUGCCACAUAGCACCGCAACACUCAUCUGGUUCCAAAGCAGACGGCUUGGCCCUCUGUUAUCAAGAGCACUAUCACCGUUCUGGCCCGGAGAGCUAAGUUUUCUUAUACAUAGGUCGUAGCCAAAGCUCAGAGGAAAGAAGUGACAUUUGGUGAGUGUACAGGAUAUGUUCUCCAGCCACUUUUUAGGUGCUAAGUUACAUCUUGAAAUAAUGUCAGAAAUUGGAAGAUGCCGUAUUUAAACUUCACUAGCCCAAGCCCUAAUUCACCUCGACAGUUUAAUAUCUUAAUGUUUCUUAAAAUUUGAGGACUCUUAGAAUGACCCCUUUAAAAAUCUGCUGAAAAACUGGAUCUUUUUGUGGGAAAAACUGUCCAUACCUACAUAUCUAAAAUGUGUAUGUGGUUUCAGUCUCUCCUGUGCACAGUCCCUCCUGCUUUGAAGGGAUCCCCAACAUGUUUUUUUCCUAGAGGUAGUUGGUCACAACCAUCGGAUAACAUGCUUAUCACCUGGGUGAUAAAAUAUUCUGGACACCAAACCCCGAUGACAUGCAAUUUACCUAUAUAAAGAACCUGCACAUGUAUUCCUGAACCUAAAAUAAAAAGUUGUAAAAAAUAAUAAUACAAGUAAAAGAGCUUUCUGCAUGUGUUAUAAAUCUGUUCAGGAGGACUUUCCACUAUGCUUUCAAGAGAAGUGUCUUGAAGAAUUUAGCAUCACUCUGAAUUCCCAAAAAGCUCUGUGCUUUUCAAGGUGCUUUUGAGGAAGAAGGAUGAUGCUUCAACUGUCUUCUUUGCUGUGACUUCUAGGAAGUUCAUUAUCACAUCAUAUUCUCAACCAAAUAAUUAACACUUGACAUUGGCAUUUUCUUCUGUCUUUGUUUUUAAAUUUUAUUGUUGUUUGCUAAUUUUAUUGUUUUUAUCUUUGUUGUAUGUAUUGUCCCGGCUCUCCAUUUCCUCCCUCUCCCUGCCAAUAAAAGAGACCCAUAGAUUUUAUUCUUUUGUUCUACUUUUUCAUCAGUUUCUUCUACAUAUAUCUGACAUAUAUGGAAAAAAGAAUUACUGCCUAUAUAUGCAGAACUUGUAACUCACAGGAUUUCUAAACUAAAAGACUUUUCUUAAUAGGUGUGAAGUGAAAUUCUGCAAGUAGCUGCAUCUGGGAACUUCAGAGUUAAACCGAUAUCUCAGUAUAAUCUGUCACUGCUAUAGUUUCUUUUCUUUGACCUCCAAACCUUAUGUUGAAAUUUGACCCCCAAUGUUGAAGGUAGAGCCUAAUGGGAGGUGUCUGGGUCUGGGGGCAGAUCCCUCAAGAAUAGCUUGGUCAUCAAUGAGUGAGUUCUCACUCUAUUAGUUUCUGGGAGAGCUGGUUGUUAAAAAGAGUGUGUCAUGUCCCUUCUCUCUCUUUUUGCUUCCUCUCUCACCAGUGAUCUGCCUAGGCCAGCUCCCCUUCAUCUUCUGCCAUGAGUGGAAGCAGCCUGAGGCCCUCACCAGAAGCAGAUGUUGGCACUAUGCUUCUUAGACAGCCUGCAAAACUGUGAGCCAAAGAAUUCCCUUUUCUUUAUAAAUGACCCAGCCUCAGGUAUUCCUCUAUAGCAACGCAGAUGGACUAAGACACUCAUGCUUCCUUUCAUUAGCUAUUUCAAGCUCAAAAAUUGUGAGACUGUGCCAAGAAUUAGGGCAGGAUCUUGUCAUUGCGAACUUACAACUUUUCUAUCUAAAGCAAAAGGUCCUAAUCCCAAACCAUAAUUGGAAAGGUGCCUCUACUCCAACCUCAUUGCCCUUCAACUGCCCCUUCUCUGCCUCCCAUUCCCCUCUUACUCACCGAAAGACAAAUGAGUUUAGGCUGGGCACAGUUAGCCAUCGUUCUCAGAAAAACAAAAUCUUGCUGCUUGGUAUUCUCACUUAGAAUCCCUUCACUUAGCUUAUGGAUCACCCUACACAGAUUCCUGACAGCUCACUGGGCCAGGGAACCAGCCAGAUUUUUGAGCUACAUCUGCAGUAUCUUUUCUACUCAGGCAGCUGGCAUAAGGUGGGAAAAUUCAUUAACAUGCUAAUGAUGUCCUAUUUAAAAUUCUAGUCCUGAUUAUUCUGUGAUUAAAUCUCUCCCCUUGACGUCGGUUUCCUUUAUAGCUGAGUUACAGUGCGAAAUCAACAAUAUUAAUAAAGUACAAUACAGAUUACCAAUUUAUACACAAGGGAUGGUGAAAAACUGCUGCGUAAAUCUGAGGGCUGUCCUUUUAACUUGAAAAGCAGUUGUAGGCCGGGCGCGGUGGCUCACGCUUGUAAUUCCAGCACUUUGGGAGGCCUAAGCAGGUGGAUCACCUGAGGUCAGGAGUUUGAGACCAGCCUGGCCAACAUGGUGAAACCCCGUCACUACUAAAAAAAUAUAAAAAUUAGCUGGCCUAUAAUCCCAGCUACCUGGGAGGCUGAGGCAGGAGAAUCGCUUGAACCUGGGAGACGGAGGUUGCAGUGAGCAGAGAUCGCACCAUUACACUCCAGCCUGGGUGACAAGAGCAAAACUCUGUCUCAAAAAAAAAAAAAAAAGCAGAUGUAGCAAACUGUAAAAGUUGCUGAUUUUUUUCAUUCCACCCUUCUUUAAAUAAACACACACAUUGGAAUCCACAAUAAUUAAAUGUUUAUAGUUAAUUUCCAUAAAUAUUCAAGGCUUGGAAGAUAGAUUUAGCUUUUCCUUCUAUUUCACUGCACUUAACAUUGCUCCGAAUUCAAAUGUGUUAUCCUGAAGUCUCAAGAACAGCUGACAGGAGUUAAAGCACACUUCUUUAUCAUCUCUUUAUAGAGAUUGUGUCUUGGCAACAAAAGCCAAUGGAUUCGGUGAUGAGGUCUGUCUCCCUUUGCCCUUGAGUACCUUGGCAUAUUUCAGUUCCUUUUCUAUCACCGUAUUGUUCUAUUACUGACACUCCAAACUGAAUAUCCAACUCAGACAACUCAAGCACCUUCCAAGAAAGACAAACUUAUCACUACCCUCAUUAAUUUGGAAAAUGAAUAAAGAAGCAGAAGAUUCAAGGUCCAGAUCUGCAAUCUAAAAUGCAGGAAGAGAGGACUCAUUCAUGUGUCAUUUUAACAUCUGGCCCCAGUAAAUGAACAAAUAUUGAUGGUAUAGUAUAUUUACUAUUUUAAAAGACAUCAUGCUGGACACCAAAGCAGUACAGUGAAACCUAAGAACAAUGUUCUGACCUCGGUGGACUCACAAUCUAGCCAGAGACACAAGAUACAAUGAUAUUUUAAGUGAUGCAUGCAGCAAAUUCAUCUCAGGUGCAUCAUUAGAGAUACACUUCACAUCAUUAAAAGGUCUCUGUACGAGAGACACUGCUAAUUGUUCCCUAAGACUGCAAAUCUCCCCUUUUGCUAUGGAAACAGAAUUCAUCACUUUAGUGGGGCACAUUGCUGCCCAGGGUAAGGACAGCUCCCAGCCCCUCUUGCAAGUAGCUGUUACCAUAUAACAAGGUUAAGGUCACAGGGAUGUGGCCGUAGCAGAGAUGUGUGCAGAUUUCUAAAAGCGUACUUAAAGGGGAUAGAUGAGCUCUCUUCCUUCUUUGUUUUUUUUCUGACUGGACUUGGACAUGCAUGUGGCUGGGUCAGCCAGGUUGGACUGAAUGGCACAUGUUGUGGGGCAGAGAAGAACAAGAUAGAAGAGUCUGGGUUCCUGACAAGCAGGGUGGCUUGAUCAUCCAUGAGUUGCCUUUUUCCCCUGAACGCUGCAUUCCACAACUAUUGUUGGAAAUCAAAAUCUUUUUUUAAGAAUACUACAUAUUGCUCAUUUCUUAAAUGGUUUCAUUCUCUAAGGCUAAAAAGAGUCAUGGUACAUGCAUGCAUAUGUGUAUGUGCAUAAGUACACUCUCCUUUGUACUUUCUCUACAUUUAAACUUGAACACAGAGCUCCCUCUGAAUUUUUAACCCUCAAAACACAAAAAAAGCUGAAUAUGGACUUUGCCCCAGUUUUAUCACAUUUUAAUAAAUAAAAGCUUCAAUGUAUUCAGGAAUUCAUUAUUUAUUUGUUUCCCACACUCUCAACCCUAGAUUAUUAAUUUGGUUCACCUAAAGCCAACUCACCUCAAAUUGGUUAAAAAAAAUUAAGCACGUGUAAAUCAAUGUAUAGGGAAAGGGUGGCUGAUCCAGCAAAAUCCAAGUGUAAAAACAUAAAGAGAGGCUUCACAACAGUAAUGAGCCAUCUGCAAUUUAGAAUCAUCCAUGGUAACAAUCUCUCAUUCCAUUUGUUUAUGUUUUAUUCAUCAUUGUGAAAAUACUUAGUGAAGUGACGAUGAUGAGAUUCAAAAAUACUGCAUGGUUCUUUUUUUAAAAAGAGAUAUUAAUGGCUUUCAGGGGCUCAACUAUUCAAAUGAAAAUAUUGCUGGACUAAAUUUGCUCAAAUUUGUUCACUUCCUCUUCAUUCUUGGAUAUAAUAUAUUCUUCAUUUUAUGACAAAAAACUAUGUGGUGAAAACAUGAGAAAUUCCGUAGUUUCCAUCGUUUAUACAUUUAAAAAAUCAAUAGCAGAAACCUAUUUCAAAUGUACAAUCCUCAUUCCUAUCAUGACAGAGUAAACCAGGCUGCGGUGUCUUGGGUGAGCGUGUUGUCAUUCCCUAGUACUACAGUUAUUUAGCCUCAAACGUACUGUCUCUAGUUACAUAUACGGCAAAAACAAGGCUUGACCUUUAAGAAUGAAAAGAAAAAAAGAUAAGUACUGAGCUGUUAAGCCAACUUAAGGGUAUUCAUUACAAAGAAGACAGAAUAACUACUGAACAUACUCUUUGAUUCUAAUAUCUCUAUGAAGAAACCUCUCUCUACACAAAUUGAUAGACAUUUUAAAAGAAAAUUUAUUCAUCCCAAAUUGAUGCACUUAACUUCAGCUAGCUGAUUUUAUAUUUCUCAAUCUAGCUUAUAAAUACUACUCUUCAUUUACUUCAAUUUACGGAGUAUUUACAAAAGCCCUAUUUCAAAUCUGGUUCCUAUCAGCCCCGUUUUUUCUUAUUUCUUCUUAAAUAAGCAUACUUUGUAAAAUAUAGCCAUUUAUUCAUAUAUAUAUUUCUUUCAUUUGUUUUAGUAAAUGACAUUUAUUUAGGAACCAUUUUUUAAGAAAUAAGUUUUUACCAUCUCAAUUUGCACUGAACCAGCGUCUUCUGAGACCAUCCCUCUGGGUGCAAAUCUCAGAGUAAGCUCAGUUACUCCUAACGACUGGAAAAGGAAAGAACACAGGAACACUUGAACUCCUCUGACAAGCAGACACUUUGGCUAAGGCGGCAUUCACAUCUUCUACAUCAUCCUUCCUGGGGAAAGAAGCUCUCAGAAAAGUCCACACAUAGAAGAGCCACUUUAUGGUCUUCCCUCAAUUUUCUCAGAUCAGCCUGAUUUAGUCUAUGAUUGUGCAGACAAGGAGACGGAGCCAAGGGACAAAAGGAAGAUAAUUGUCACACAAAGAAAAUGCUCAAGACCUUGCCAAGGGAGAGACUGCUCUAAAUAAUAACAAGGCUAUUAGCAAACACAGGUUGAGACAGGGAACAGAAAAAGAAAAGAUGUCACAUGUGAAUAUGAAAACAAAAGCUGACAAGUAAUUCCAUUCGGUUUGCCAAGGCACCUGCCAAAAAUGUCCCCAAGGAAAAGGGCCAUGUGCUCCAUGACGCUCUUCACAGUGACGUUCACAUAAGGCACAGAACAUUCUGCCUGGCCACAAAACACAACAAAUAUCAUCAAUAUCUUGCCGGGGAACAGUUGUGCACUACCUACCAUAGGCAGUCUCCUGGUGCUCCACUUCUCUUCUCAGUCUGUUGUAAUCUUCUUUAACACUUCCCAGCUUUUUGACAUUCCUGGAACUCAACACCAACAGCUUGCUGAGGAGUCCCUCCAGCCCUUCUCUCUCUGAUGUUAAUGAUCUAAUCUCCUCGGUGAGGUCUUUAGCCGUCCAGAAAUGGUUUCCUACAGCACGUUGUGGGAGAGAAGAAGGGAAAACAAGCUUUACAGCAUCCACACACAUGGAAGAUCUAGCAGCAGCUAAUGUACAUUCACAGCAUGGGCAAAGAAACUGCACUUUGAGAUUAUGUACAAUUUCCUUAGCAGUCCUCUGGGGAAAGAACCUGGAAAAAUAUUGCUCUCCUUAAACUGGAAAAAUCACCGUCUUUUUUAUCACCUUAUUCUUGUUAUGUCCAUUUUAGGAGUUCCAUUGGUGAAGCCAUCUCCCGUAAAGUAUGAUGACCCAAAAAUGUCCCAGUGGAAUCCAGAGAAACCACAAUGUGUCACUCCAUUCCAAUAAUAUACAAAUGUCAAAGAGAUGACAUAUUAUAGCAGUGUGGAAGGGGACUGGGCCAUAUAAUCAGAGUUGACCUAAAUUAAAUUCCUCCCCUGUUACUCAAACUGUGUGACCUGGAGCAAGAAAAUUAGCACAUCUGGGGCAAAUUUCUUAUAAAAUAUAAUUGCAAUAACACCUGACUCAUAGGUAGUUACAAGAAUAAACAAGAAAUUCUGUAAAGCACUGAGAAAAAUAUAUGAUAAAUUAAAUGUAGCAAGAUUGCAGGAUACAAGGUCAAUGUACAAACAUCAAUCUUAUGUCUAAAUAACAAAAAACUAGAAGAUGAUUUUUUAAAAAAUACAAUUUACAAAAUAUUUUAAAUCUCAUAAUACUGAGGGAUACUUUCUUUAAAUAUGUGCAAGAGCUCUACAGUGAAAACUAUUUUUCAAAAACUGCUGAGACAAAUUAAAGACAAAUAAUUUAAAAGAUACACUGUAUACAUACACUGGAAGUUCAAUAUUGGUAAGAUUUCAAUUUUCCCCACAUUGAUUCAUUGAUUUAAUAUAAUUCCAAUCAAAAUGUUAUGAGGUUCUUUUGUAGAAAUUUAUGUGCUUAUUCUAAAACGUCUAAGAGUGAGCUGGGCAUGGUGGCUCACACCUGUAAUCCCAGCAUUUUGGGAGGCCGAGGUGGUGGGUCCCUUGAGGUCAGGUGUUCAAGACCAGCCUGGCCAACAUGGCGAAACCCUAUCUCUACUAAAAAUAUAAAAAUUAAUCUGGCACAGUGGUAAGCACCUGUAAUCCCAGCUACUCAAGAGGCUGAGGCAGGAGAAUCACUUAAACCCAGGAGGUGUAGGUUGCAGCGAGCUGAGAUCCUGCCACUGCACUCCAGCUUGAGCAACAGAGUGAGACUUCAUAUCUAAACAAAUAAAAUCUAGAAGAAUGAGCCCAUGAGUUUGAGGCUGUAGUGCACUAUGAUUGCACUUUUGAACAGGCACUACACUCUUGUCUGGGCAACAUAGCAAGUCCCCACCUCAAAGAAGGAGAGGGAGAAAGAAGAAGAAGGAGGAGGAGGAGGUGAAAGAGGGAGGGAGGGAAGGAAGGAGAAGACGAAGAAGAAUGAAGAAGAAUAGGAAGAAAGAAGAAGAAGGAAGAGGAGGAGGAGGAUGACCAAAGCAAUCCUUAAAAAGUGAGUCUUGGUUUCAAGACUAAUGCUAAAGCCACUAUAAAUCAAGGUAAUAUGGCAUUGAAUAUACAUAGACAAACAGAUCGAUGGAAUAGAAUAAACAGUCCAGGAGUGGAUUAACACAUAUACAGCCAACCAAAGUGCCAAAGCAAGUCAAUGAGGAAAAGAAAGUAUUUUCAAUAAAUGGUGCUGGAACAACUAGCUAUCUACAUGGAAAAAAUAUUAACCUUGAUUCAUACCUCAAACCACACAAAAAUUUAAUUAAAGGUGGAUCACAGGCCUACAUGUAAAAGUUAAAACUAUAAAGCUUCUACAAAAAAAAAAUGAAUAUUUGAUUGACUUUGGAGUAGGCAAGAACUUCAGAUAAGAUACAGAAAACACUAUUUUAAAAAGGAUAAAUGGGCUUUAUCAAAAUUAAAAACUUCUCAUCAAAAGACACAACUAAAAAAUGAGACGACAAGUCACAGACUUGGAGAAAAUCAUUGCAUUAUGUUUAACUGACAAGGAAUUGAAUACUACAACUUGACAAUUAAAACACAAAUGGUGCCAUUGAAAAAUGGUCAAAUGACUUAACAGGCAUUUUACAAAGUAGACGCACAAAUGGCUAAUAAGCAUAUGAAAAAACAUUUGACAUCAUUAAUCAUUAAGAAAAGAAAAAUUAAAACCAUAAAUAUUCCACUACAAGCCCACUCAAAUGUUUCAAAUUAACUCAACUAAAAAUGUCAACAUUCACAAGGGUAUGGAGCAACUGGAACUCUCACGCAUGUAAAAUGGUCCCUUCAAGAAAAGUUCUGCCAGUUUCUCAUAAAGUUCAAUGUAUACCUACCCUUUAAUCCAACAAUUCUACUUCCAGGCAUUUACACAAAAGAAAUGAAAACAUGUCAUCAAAAAUAUUUGCACUCAAAUAAAUGGUCACAGUGUCUUAUGCCUGAGAGCCAGCCCCAUACUGGAAGCAACCUAAAUAUCCAUCAGCAGGAAGAUGCAAAAAUAAUACUAUAGCUAUGCAAUGAAAGACUACUCAGCAAUAAAAAGAAACAAACUCGUCAUACAUGCAGCAACAUGUAUGUGUCUUUUUCUUUCUUUCUUUUUUUUUUUUUUGAGACAGAGUUUUGUUCUUGUUGCCCAGGCUGGAGUGCAGUGGUACGAUCUCAGCUCACUGCAACCUCCACCUUCCAGUUUGAAACUAUUCUCCUGCCUCAGCCUCCCAAGUAGCUAGGAUUACAAGUGCCCACCACCACGCCCAGUUAAUUUUUGUAUUUUUUAGUAGAGCCGGGGUUUCACCAUGUUGGCCAGACUGUUCUCAAACUCCUGACCUCGUGAUCCACCCACCUCAGCCUUCCAAAGUGCUGGGAUUACAGGCGUGAGCCACCGCGCCCAGCCAACAUGUACAUGUCUUUAGAAAAGAUGCAAAAGAGUAGUGCCACAUGAUUCCAUUAAGUUCUAGAACAGCCAAAAUUAAUCCAUGGUAGAAGAUAUCAGAACAGAGGAGGGACGAUGAUGACUGGGACAAGAUAGGGUGUUGUUUCUUGAGUGAUGAGACUGUUCUAUCUCUUGGUAGGGCUGUUCGUAACACAGGUGUCAAAAUUCAAGAACUGUAAACACUUAAGACCUGUGCAUUCCACUGAAUAUAAACCAUACCUCAAUUAAAAAGAGGAAAAAUUAAGAAAUUUUUAAGCAUGAACAUUGAACAAUAAAUAAAUAUAUAACAUUAAUGAGUGUCCCAUAAAUUAGUUAGUGUUAAUUAGAAAACCCCACUGUGUUUUCUCAGAAUUUAUAGUAACCAUAAUCACAAUAAUAGCUACAAACUUUCUCACCUUUAAAUGUCAUCACAACUUUAGGAAACAGGUUAUAUCUUAUAUUAUUAUUAUUAUUAUUAUUAUUAUUAUUAUUAUUAUUAUUUUACAUUUUAACAUCUCUGAAACAGGGAUGUGUCCUACAAUCACCAUCAGCCAGGAAGUGGUCAGGAUGCAGUGGUUAUAACUGGAUUAUUUUCCCUGGCCUGGCUGACCAUCUGCAACCCCCUGGUGUUUCAAUGUACAAACUAUUUUAGGACCAUCUGCGUACUGGCUGUUGCCUGAAAAUCUUGUGUUGAUGUGGAUUUGUAAGACUGGGAAAGCACCAGCAUUCAAAACUUGAAGAAAGGUGUUAGCAGUUUGGCAGACAAUCCUACAGAAAACUCUUUAUUCUUGGGGGAGAAAAAGUUGCCUCCCAUCAACUUCAAUGGUUCACAGGAUGAUGACGUGUGGGGAAACACAAACCUCGACAACAUUGAGUCCAAAUGUGUUUCGGAAGACUCAGAAUGAAGAAGAAGAUGCCAAGGAAAACCUUAACCAAUUUAUUUUCCUUUUUAAUGAGUGAUAUGUGAUUUUUCAAAAGCCUAAAUACAUCUAAAAGAGCUAUAUCAGUUAAGUAUAAGAUAAAAAUUCUAAACCAUAGAAAGCACUGUUACUGCUUAAUUGACAGCAAUUUUUCUUUCUUUGCAAUGUAUAAAAUAAUGGGUGCUUUUUAUGUUCACUGAAAUUCAUAUUGUUGUCUCCUUUUACAGCUGGGAAAGCGGAAAUCUGGAGAACUAAAAUAUCUUGCUGAAGAUCACAAUGCAGUAAAGCAUAGGGCAAGUUUCCAACUCGAACAUCACCCCAGAACACUUCCUUUUAAACAUAAAUUAUGUUGCUAACUUUUUUAUUGUUACUUAGCAGGCAGAUUUCAAACUGAUACAAAUGUUGAAAAUGAUACAAAAUGUUUUCCCACCUUAAAGGCAUUCUGAAACCUAGCACAUAACAUCUGUCACUGAAGUCCAUAGUUUCCAAUGCCAUGAUUGGAUAAAGACCCUAUUGAGACUCAUGUGUUUGUCUCUCACUGCUUAAAACACUCAUGUGUUUUAAGCAACAUGACAAGCACAAAAGAGAACAAGUACUGCUCCUGCUCUCCAGGAAGUUACCAUAAAAUAAAGGGGAUAAGGUGCCUUCCAAAGAAAAAACAAAUACUAGGAGAGGUCAGAGGAGAAGAGAGAUUAUUCCAGAAGGAGAGACUGAGGCAGAUUUCAGGAGGGAAGAAUAUAAGAGUCCCAAAAGAAGAAACAGGAACCCAGGUUAGAGAGCAAUGGGCAAGGGGUAGGAGGUGAGACUAAACUCACAAGGAAGUUGCUUCAAAACAAUAGUGCCCCAAAUGCCAAGCUGAUGGGUUGGACCCAUUUAGGAAAAACCCACAAAGUCCACAGGAGAGCAGACUGCACUUCCAUGAGCUUCAAGCUGUAAACAGUAACCUCAAAUAAAACUUUUCCCGGAUCGGUAAUUUCCAUCCUGAACAAUGGCCAAGUCAAGGAAGCUGAGGAUCGAGCCCCCUACCGCAUGCCACAAAGAACCUCAAGGGACCCCAUGCUCUGGGGAGCUCGCAGGAGGACCAGCACAGAGGUGUGACUGCGUUGGGGCAGGGUGGCCACAUGUACAAUGUUGUACCUUCCAAUGUUCCUCCUUAGGCUGUGCUUAUGAAGUCCCAACAUGUCUUCUGGGCUGUGUUUUCAACCAAGAGAGUUAAUAAAAAGUGGGAUGGGCACCAACUAUGCCUCCAGAGACAUCAGGCAGAAUAUGCCACAGCGUGCCAUGUCCUCCUGCAAACAGUCAGAAAGAAAAGAUCUCUAAAAGCAGAUUGGAAGAGACUAUAUAUACAGAGCGAGUGCCGGUACAGAAGUUUUGCUGCAAAUACACCCUCUAAUCCCUUGCAACCCACUGCAAGCUCGAGAGACCAGUGCCCUUGGUAAAACAUAGGAGAGAUCAUUAAUUAAAGCCUAGGCCCUUUCUUUGAUCCUGAGGGAUAAGGCUUGGGAAAAUGCACAGUGAUAAAAGUGAACAUUUUAAAAGAGCAGAGUGAGUGUGAAUUCCCAAAGAGACCAUUCAUAUCAAGACCCAAGCCAUGAGAAAAUGCUACAAUGCCCUUGAUCAAUACUUUAUAGGCAUUUUGACCUCAGAUCUAAUCCCAUGAGGCUUAGACCAAGACCUUGCUUGAUGCAGACCUCUCUGACUGCUGAAAUUGGUCAGGAGCUCAGUGAUGAAAAUUUGGAAAGUCAAUGCUGAUACCUGAAGAAAGUCCCAUCAGAGAUCUGUGACCUGAAUCUUCAUAACUUUCACAGGCCCUUUCUAAAUGCCAAGGAGGAUGUGUGUGGAGAAGAAUAUGCCACCUAUGGCAUCCCAAUAUGCCUGUGCCCGCCUGCUCUUCAACAAGGGAAUGAAACCUGGGUAUUCUCAUAGGUUUUUUAAAGCACUUGUCCACAUAUUUUAUUCCGCAAAUAACACAAUUUAAAAUUCAGCUAGAAUUUGCCAUUUUCUGUCAGGGUUGUGCAUUUCUUCCAGUCACCAUGACUUCCUGAGAUAGCCAAAACACAAAAUUUAAAUUGUGUUUAAAUUAAAUAAACACAAUUUAUGCUGAAGCUGACUUUACCCACUCUGUUCCAACAUUACUUAUCCUCAGCAUCUCUGAAUUCAAAUAUCAGCCAGGUGUGGUGGCUCAUACCUGUAAGCCCAGCACUUUGGCAAGCCAAGAUGGGAAGGUUGCUUGAGGAGUUGGAGACCAGCCUGGGCAACAUAGCAAGACCCCCAUCUCUACAAAAAAAUUAAAAAAUUAGCCAGGCAUGGUGGUAUGCACCUUUAGUCCUAGCUACUUGGGAGGCUGAGGUGAGAAGAUCACUUGAGCCCAGGAGCUUGAGGUGGCAGUGAGUCAUGAUCAUACCACUGCACUGUAGCCUGAGCAACAGAGCAAGACCCCAUCCCUUAAAAAAAAUACCUGCCCUCUGUACUUCAUAGCACCUGGGGCAUUUUGAACAGUUCUUCCUUCACCUGAGGUCAUUAUUUGAGAAUCCAAUUUUAGAGACUACAAUGCUCUCAUUACUUGGAUUGUAUCAUUUAAUCUUCCCAACAAUCCAGGAAGGGGAGUCUCUUAAUGAUUGUCCUUGAUUUCCAGUUAAAAAAUCUAGACCCAGAGGUAACCUUGUGAAGGUCACAGAGUUUCAGAGUUCUAAGAUCCCAUGCGAGAUUGCUGAACUUGAACUUGUUUCUUCUGAUCUCAUGUCAAUAAGUGACUUAGUCAACACCUGGGUAGAAAUCAUCACUAAAGUGAGAAAGCACAUGGUGAGGGGGAUGAAUCCUGUGCCCACAUGGUCCCUUUCACCUGCCCAAUCCUCAGGCCUCUCACCUGGGGUACCCCUCACACACAUGGCACUUUCCUGAACUCAUGGACAUUUCAGUUUGUAACGAUCCUCCUAAGAUUAUCUACUUUCACCUAUCCACAUUUGAACUAUACUUCUUUAGUGGAAAAAAAGAAAUAAAGCCAGUGCUGAGAAUGAUCAAACUCCAGAAAUAGUAGACUGCUGUAUAAUUUGUCUUGCGUGACACCAGAUCUUUCAAGGAACUGCAAGCUCAAGUGCACAGUUAAGCAAGAUCAAGAUCUACCUUUGUCUUUCAGAGCCUUCCCUUGGCGAGGUCAAGGAUAUCUGCUGUGAGCCUGGGCUGGCUGAACCAAAGGGCAAUGGAGGCGGCCAAGAAGCCCCAGCCAACUGCUCCCCUCCCCAACCCCCUUCUCCCUGGAGGUCCCUUCAGCUAGAAUUUGCCAUUUUCUGUCAGGGUUGUGCAUUUCUUCCAGUCACCAUGACUUCCUGAGAUAGCCAAAAGCAUUUGCUGUGAGCAGAGCCCCAUGGCUGGCUUUGCACAUCAAACAUUUCAGACAGCCAUAUAUUUCAUAGAAUACAAGGGGAAGAUAACACUGGACACACAGAACUUUCCAACAGCUUGAGAAAAUGUGGUGCCUGGUGACUGACUAAAUAUACAAUCGGACAACAGCCAGGCCAUAGCAAAAGAUGGAACUCUGAUCCACAAGGUGCAGCAACUUUCCCAGAAAACAAUACCCUUACCCACAAAAAGCAACCCCGGAAGCUGGCCUGCUCUAAAUCAGACCUGCUGGAAGCCAAAUUGCUCUCUAGUAACUAUCCAGGAAGCUAAAUAAUAACUUCUGUAACAAUUGACUCAAAAUGUUCAGGACUGGAUUAAUAACUGAUGGCUUCCCUAAUUUUUGUCCCCGAUUCCAACUUAGGACCCACCAGAGAAAGCCAAAUAUGGUCCCCUGACCAAGCACACAGGAUGUUCGCUUCUAGUGAGCCGCCUCCAGCUUCCCCGCAUUGAUAACCUCCAAUCAGGGCACACCUGAAGCCUUCGCCUUUUUCCACUAUAAAGCUCUCCCACUCGUCUGCCCACCUUUGAGUCUCUGCCAAAUUGCAAAUGAUGGUGUCUGACUCCCUUGCUGUAGCAAGCUCUGCAUAAUAGCUUGUGCUUAUUCUCUUUGGGUAGGUCUUCAUUUCUUUUCACACCAGAUAGGCAUCAUCUUUGAAAACAUCUUUACUGGGUCUCUUGUCUCCCUCCUGCAGCCACUGAUCUAAAUCACAGACUUUUUUAGAAAGAGGGAAAAUAGUAAAGAAAGAAAGCGAUUGAGUUGAUGCUCCCAGCCACUGUCUGUACCCUGAAUUUUGUUUUUCUGCCAUAUGUCAGGUGGCCUCUCCUGGACCAUCGUCACUGUUUCUCCUGCUUCCCUGCAGCUGCAGACACAGGAGCACUGUGUAGGUCUGGCCUUGAGCACCCACCCACCCAGUACAGAGCCAGCCCCUGCUGUUCUGAAUCAGUGCAGUGACCACUUAGAACACAGUGCCCAUGCCUCUGUGAUCUGAACUGCUCUUUCCAGUUCCAUACAAUGUUAAGAACCCACUUAAGAAUGUUUUAAUCAUUCAGUAGUUUUUCGUGGUAUAUAAUAAAAAAGUGAUUUAAAUACAAUCUAUUUUAUUUUAGAUUAUAUCAUUAGGGGUUAUUUUACAAAGUUACCUUUAAAUACUAUUGUAAAUAAAAUUAAUAACAAAUAA